AACGAACGCUGGCGGCAUGCCUAACACAUGCAAGUCGAACGAGAGCUUCGGGACUAGUGGCGCACGGGUGCGUAACGCGUGGGAACCUGCCCCUAGGUUCGGCAUAACUCUCCGAAAGGGGUGCUAACACCGGACAAUGUCUUCGGACCAAAGAUUUAUCGCCUUUGGAUGGGCCCGCGUUGGAUUAGCUUGUUGGUAGGGUAAAAGCCUACCAAGGCGACGAUCCAUAGCUGGUCUGAGAGGAUGAUCAGCCACACUGGGACUGAGACACGGCCCAGACUCCUACGGGAGGCAGCAGUGGGGAAUAUUGGACAAUGGGCGAAAGCCUGAUCCAGCAAUGCCGCGUGAGUGAUGAAGGCCUUAGGGUUGUAAAGCUCUUUUACCCGGGAUGAUAAUGACAGUACCGGGAGAAUAAGCUCCGGCUAACUCCGUG
RNAcentral lists this ribosomal RNA (433 nucleotides) under uncultured bacterium. RNAcentral's name for it is "partial 16S ribosomal RNA". It matches the Rfam family "Bacterial small subunit ribosomal RNA", at positions 29 to 507 of the family's 1533-position model. The record is from RNAcentral.